GCCGAGAUGGCGGAAUUGGUAGACGCACCAGACUCAAAAUCUGGCGCCGCAAGGCGUGCCGGUUCGAUUCCGGCUCUCGGCACCA
RNAcentral lists this transfer RNA (85 nucleotides) under Affinundibacterium macrobrachii. RNAcentral's name for it is "Undibacterium macrobrachii tRNA-Leu". It matches the Rfam family "tRNA". Rfam says of the family: Transfer RNA (tRNA) molecules are approximately 80 nucleotides in length. Lineage: Bacteria; Pseudomonadati; Pseudomonadota; Betaproteobacteria; Burkholderiales; Oxalobacteraceae. RNAcentral also lists the same sequence under 3 other names. The record is from RNAcentral.